GACGAACGCUGGCGGCGUGCUUAACACAUGCAAGUCGAACGGACAGACAGAGAGCUUGCUCUCUUGAAGUUAGUGGCGAACGGGUGAGUAACGCGUAAUCAACCUGCCCUUCAGAGGGGGAUAACAACGGGAAACCGUUGCUAAUACCGCGUACGAUUCAUGAACGGCAUCGUUUAUGAAUGAAAGGUGGCCUCUAUGUAUAAGCUAUCGCUGAAGGAGGGGAUUGCGUCUGAUUAGCUAGUUGGAGGGGUAACGGCCCACCAAGGCAAUGAUCGGUAGCCGGUCUGAGAGGGUGAACGGCCACAUUGGGACUGAGGCACGGCCCAAACUCCUACGGGAGGCAGCAGUGGGGAAUCUUCCGCAAUGGACGAAGGUCUGACGGAGCAACGCCGCGUGAGUGAUGAAGGUCUUCGGAUUGUAAAGCUCUGUUAAUCGGGACGAAAGAGUUCUGCGUGAAUAAUGCAGAAAAGUGACGGUACCGGAAUAGAAAGCCACGGCUAACUACGUGCCAGCCGCCGCAGUAA
This 524-nucleotide ribosomal RNA is filed under the name uncultured bacterium. RNAcentral's name for it is "partial 16S ribosomal RNA". It matches the Rfam family "Bacterial small subunit ribosomal RNA", at positions 28 to 523 of the family's 1533-position model. The record is from RNAcentral.